UUUUUUUUUCCUAGGUCAUUUAUAAAAAAUGUAGGCUAUAAAAGAUUUCUCGACUUUUAUAACCUACAUAUUUUUUCUUUGCGUUCUACCUUCUCCAAACCUACAAUGGGUUUAGAAUAAAGUUUUUGUUACAAUGCAAACACAUCCACCUUAAUUAGAAAAAUUCAAUGAAAAAUAUUCCAAAAAGAGUUCCAAAGUCAAUCAACAACACCAAUAUUAGAUCAGUUCCUUCUUUCUUGUCCAUACGUUCAAAAAUAUACUCUACCGUCUACACUGCAUAUACAGGCCCAUAAUUACAACAAGUGCCAGCAAAAUCCGGCGACGAAAACAACCAAGUCUAUCUUCGACCUCCGGCGCCAGAAAACACAAAGCCUCCGUAAAAAGACCCAACAACACCGAUACGGCUACGUCAGAACCACAGCACCACGAUAACUUCACCGAGGAAGACGGAGAAUUCUGAGUAUACAAGCAGAAAAGAUGGGGAUAAUAUUGUAAUGUCAAAAUCUCGUAAUUCUAUCUUUUUGUUGUUUUAUCAUUCUGAUUCCAUCGAUUUUGGAGAGAUAUUGGAAAUUUUGUUUGCUAACUUGAUCUGAGUUUUCGAAAUUUUGCUUCUUGACAUAUUAGAUUGUGUUUGUUUGAUGGAUUGAAUUCAAAUUAUGACAUGAUGGUUAUGCUUGUUCUGUCUACAUUUG
RNAcentral lists this long non-coding RNA (692 nucleotides) under Capsella rubella. RNAcentral's name for it is "long non-coding RNA (CRUB_LNC000613)". Lineage: Eukaryota; Viridiplantae; Streptophyta; Magnoliopsida; Brassicales; Brassicaceae. The record is from RNAcentral.